This 1326-nucleotide long non-coding RNA is filed under the name Zalophus californianus (California sea lion). RNAcentral describes it as "lncRNA (ENSZCAG00015011467.1)". Lineage: Eukaryota; Metazoa; Chordata; Mammalia; Carnivora; Otariidae. The record is from RNAcentral.
GAAAUGUCAAAUGAAUGACCGCGCCGGAGCGCGAGGAAGGAAAACAAAGCCACCUCCCGCGGUCCCGUACCUGCGGCGCGAGGGCCGGGCGCGGGCCACGCACUCACCUGGGGCUCGGCGCCGCCGCAGCCGCCGCGGGCUGCGGGUGGGAACGGGGCCGCGGGGCGGGAGGGCGCCCCCGCAGUCGACCCGACCCGGGGCCCCGGCGCCCUCCGGCCGGUCCGCGCACGCCGCGGGGAAAGCAGGCGGCCGGGGGCGCCGCCGCGCGUCGCAUGCAGCUCCCGGCUGCGGCGGCCGCUGCCAAGGGUACCAGGGGACCCUGCGCUGCCGCCCCCGACCCCGCGACCCGAGGCGGCGACGGGAGAGACGCGGCGCAGGAGCAGAGCGCUCUCGGCGCGCCCCUCAGCGACUCUUCCCGCCGCCCUCCGCAGCGGGCUGGGUCUCCGCUCGCCUUUGUGCUGGCAUCUUCCUUCGUUCCCAGCGACACUCGGAGCUCCUCCGUCGGCUCCGCGCAGCCGCCCACCCCCGGGUUACGCCGCGCCCCCCGCGCGACCCGCCGAUUGUGUCGAGUCAGCACCAGCCGCGGCGGGGACGCGCGAAGCCAUGUCUCCAGCCCGCGCUCGAGAGGGCGGCCGGGGGUCCGGGCGCCGCGGAUCCAUCUGGAUCACCAGGUGUUGUGACAAUAAGGUGGAGGGCCAGACACCUUAUCAGCUAAUGAAUGUGUCCCUCAGGAUCCAGCACAGAAGUAUACAGGAUAGCCAUGUGAUCACUGCUGGCAAAUAGAAUUUAAGCAACAAUCUUGGUGUCACUUCUGGCUCUGGAGAUUAAGAAUCCAAUGUGACUUCUCUCAUUCUCUUCACCUUCACUGAAACCACAGAGCCCAUAUGUUGCAGUGGUAUCAUCCCAAGAUGGAAGGAGCCUGGAUCCCUGCACCAUCACUUGGAGGAAAGCUGACUAACUAACAUAAGACUGUGAUGUAAUCAAGAAAUAAAAUGUUACAAUAAGUAGAUAUGGGUUUAUUUGUUACAUCAGUCAGGAUUAAUGAUCCUGACUACAAUGGAAAUUGGUAACUUAAAAUAGGGUAUUGCUAUAAUUAAAACCUAAAAUAUGUGUCAUUUACUCAGGAGUUUGGUAGCAAGCAGCAAGGAAACUAAUAUUGGAAGCUAGAAAGAUGGUUAUAAUAAUAUGCAGUGGUAAAACAAUAAAAUGUUGCUAUGAUAACUUAUAAUUUAUCUUGUGCCACUAAGUCAACAGCUCUAAGGAAAGUGAUUGGAAGAAUCAACUAGUCAGUGAUGGAAAAUAUUAGUUGGUACUGAAUGGGAAAAG